AGUGAACGCUGGCGGCAGGCCUAAUACAUGCAAGUCGAACGGCAGCACAGCAGAGCUUGCUCUGUGGGUGGCGAGUGGCGGACGGGUGAGGAAUACGUGGGAAUCUGCCCAGUCGUGGGGGAUAACGUAGGGAAACUUACGCUAAUACCGCAUGCGCCCUUCGGGGGAAAGCCGGGGGACCUUCGGGCCUGGCGCGAUUGGAUGAGCCCACGUCGGAUUAGCUAGUUGGCGGGGUAAAGGCCCACCAAGGCGACGAUCCGUAGCUGGUCUGAGAGGAUGAUCAGCCACACUGGAACUGAGACACGGUCCAGACUCCUACGGGAGGCAGCAGUAGGGAAUAUUGGACAAUGGGCGCAAGCCUGAUCCAGCCAUGCCGCGUGAGUGAAGAAGGCCCUCGGGUUGUAAAGCUCUUUUGUCCGGAAAGAAAGCGCCGGGUUAAUACCCUGGUGUCCUGACGGUACCGGAAGAUAAGCACCGG
RNAcentral lists this ribosomal RNA (478 nucleotides) under uncultured bacterium. RNAcentral's name for it is "bacterial SSU rRNA". It matches the Rfam family "Bacterial small subunit ribosomal RNA", at positions 30 to 496 of the family's 1533-position model. The record is from RNAcentral.